GAUGAACGCUGGCGGCGUGCCUAAUACAUGCAAGUCGAGCGAACAGACGAGGAGCUUGCUCCUCUGACGUUAGCGGCGGACGGGUGAGUAACACGUGGAUAACCUACCUAUAAGACUGGGAUAACUUCGUGAAACCGGAGCUAAUACCGGAUAAUAUAUUGAACCGCAUGGUUCAAUAGUGAAAGACGGUUUUGCUGUCACUGAUAGAUGGAUCCGCGCCGCAUUAGCUAGUUGGUAAGGUAACGGCUUACCAAGGCAACGAUGCGUAGCCGACCUGAGAGGGUGAUCGGCCACACUGGAACUGAGACACGGUCCCGACUCCUACGGGAGGCAGCAGUAGGGAAUCUUCCGCAAGGGGCGAAAGCCUGACGGAGCAACGCCGCGUGAGUGAUGAAGGUCUUCGGAUCGUAAAACUCUGUUAUUAGGGAAGAACAAAUGUGUAAGUAACUAUGCACGUCUUGACGGUACCUAAUCAGAAAGCCACGGCUAACUACGUG
This 497-nucleotide ribosomal RNA is filed under the name uncultured bacterium. Its description in RNAcentral is "partial 16S ribosomal RNA". It matches the Rfam family "Bacterial small subunit ribosomal RNA", at positions 28 to 507 of the family's 1533-position model. The record is from RNAcentral.